Molecule: long non-coding RNA, 766 nt
Filed under: Zea mays
Lineage: Eukaryota; Viridiplantae; Streptophyta; Magnoliopsida; Poales; Poaceae
Description: long non-coding RNA (ZMAY_LNC005232)
Source: RNAcentral
GCUCCAAGGUGAUAUCGCAGGUACUAGUGAAAUGGUCAGAAUGGCCAGAAUCACUUGCUACAUGGGAGGAUGAAGAAGCUAUCAAGCAAGCGUUCCCGUACGCUCCAGCUUGGGGUCAAGCUGUUUCUAAAGGGGGAAGGGAUGUCACCAAGGCCCAGAAGACAGUGCCACUGGAGAUCGACGACCAGGCUGCAGCCAAAGCGCAGAGAAGCAAACGCACCAAGAAGCCCAAUGUCAAGUACGUUGGAGGCCCAUGGGUGAACUAGGUCUAUUACUGUAGCACAUAAAUACUUGUCUGUAAUAAGUGAACGGCAGACUGGAACAUACCUGUUGGCGGCGGCUGGCUUGUUGCCUGUCCGGAUCCUCAUACGCCUGUGUUGAACCCUGAUCGGAGUAAAAUCCUACCACCACCAAUUGAUCCAAAAACAGAUUCCAGUCUCUGUGAUUGUGUUGCUAACAUGAUCCAUCAUCCAUGUGUGGCUUGCCAUGAGCCCAUGCAUCGUCACUGGAUUUCCCCAUGAACACACACACGUGUGGUGUGUUCGUGUUGGCAUAUUGUUUGUUGUUAAAAAAAUACAGAUACGUCAUCGUGAUUCUAUAUAUCUCCUGUACAUGUUAGCACACAAUAAACCAUAAAAUGAACUGUACGGCCACCGUGCCUGCAAACAUAUCUCAGACUCAAGACUGCUGGCUGGUGAGCUUUUUCAUUCACGGGACGACUUAAACGCCGCCCAACAUAUUUGAUGGUGACCUAACCAAAAAAAAA